RNAcentral lists this ribosomal RNA (420 nucleotides) under uncultured bacterium. RNAcentral's name for it is "bacterial SSU rRNA". It matches the Rfam family "Bacterial small subunit ribosomal RNA", at positions 360 to 772 of the family's 1533-position model. The record is from RNAcentral.
AAUUUUGAACAAUGGGCGCAAGCCUGAUCCAGCCAUUCCGCGUGCAGGAUGAAGGCCCUCGGGUUGUAAACUGCUUUUGUACGGAACGAAAAGGCUCUGGUUAAUACCUGGGGCUCAUGACGGUACCGGAAGAAUAAGCAUCGGCUAACUCCGUGCCAGCAGCCGCGGUAAGACGGAGGAUGCAAGUGUUAUCCGGAAUCACUGGGCGUAAAGCGUCUGUAGGUGGUUUAAUAAGUCAACUGUUAAAUCUUGAGGCUCAACCUCAAAAUCGCAGUCGAAACUAUUAGACUAGAGUAUAGUAGGGGUAAAGGGAAUUUCCGGUGGAGCGGUGAAAUGCGUAGAGAUUGGAAAGAACACCGAUGGCGAAGGCACUUUACUGGGCUAUUACUAACACUCAGAGACGAAAGCUAGGGUAGCAAA